CUACGGGAGGCAGCAGUGAGGAAUAUUGCACAAUGGGGGGAACCCUGAUGCAGCAACGCCGCGUGGAGGAUGACGCAUUUCGGUGUGUAAACUCCUUUUAUAUGUCAAGAAAAUGACGGUAGCAUAUGAAUAAGCGCCGGCUAACUCCGUGCCAGCAGCCGCGGUAAUACGGAGGGCGCAAGCGUUACUCGGAAUCACUGGGCGUAAAGGACGCGUAGGCGGGUUGAAAAGUCAGGUGUGAAAGCCUACAGCUUAACUGUAGAACUGCACUUGAAACUCUCAAUCUAGAGUAUGGGAGGGGCAGAUGGAAUUAGUGGUGUAGGGGUAAAAUCCGUAGAUAUCACUAGGAAAACCUAAAGCGAAGGCGAUCUGCUGGAACAUUACUGACGCUAAGGCGUGAAAGCGUGGGGAGCAACAGGAUUAGAUACCCGAGUAGUC
RNAcentral lists this ribosomal RNA (438 nucleotides) under uncultured bacterium. RNAcentral's name for it is "partial 16S ribosomal RNA". It matches the Rfam family "Bacterial small subunit ribosomal RNA", at positions 339 to 795 of the family's 1533-position model. The record is from RNAcentral.